This 587-nucleotide ribosomal RNA is filed under the name Filobasidium uniguttulatum. Its description in RNAcentral is "eukaryotic LSU rRNA". It matches the Rfam family "Eukaryotic large subunit ribosomal RNA", at positions 81 to 657 of the family's 3401-position model. Lineage: Eukaryota; Fungi; Basidiomycota; Tremellomycetes; Filobasidiales; Filobasidiaceae. The record is from RNAcentral.
UAGUACGGCGAGCGAAGCGGGAAGAGCUCAAAUUUGAAAUCUGGUGGCCUCAGGUCAUCCGAGUUGUAAUCUAUAGAAGUGUUUUCCGUGCUGGCCCAUGUACAAGUCCCUUGGAACAGGGCGUCAUAGAGGGUGAGAAUCCCGUCCUUGACAUGGACUACCAGUGCUCUGUGAUACACUUUCAACGAGUCGAGUUGUUUGGGAAUGCAGCUCAAAAUGGGUGGUAAAUUCCAUCUAAAGCUAAAUAUUGGCGAGAGACCGAUAGCGAACAAGUACCGUGAGGGAAAGAUGAAAAGCACUUUGGAAAGAGAGUUAAACAGUAUGUGAAAUUGUUGAAAGGGAAACGAUUGAAGUCAGUCGUGCUCAAUGGACUCAGCCGUUCUGCGGUGUAUUUCCAUUGGGUGGGGUCAACAUCAGUUUUGAUCGCUGGAUAAAGGCAGGAGGAAUGUAGCACCCCCGGGUGAACUUAUAGCCUCUUGUCACAUACAGUGGUUGGGACUGAGGAACGCAGCAUGCCUUUAUGGCCGGGAUUCGUCCACGUACAUGCUUAGGAUGUUGACAUAAUGGCUUUAAACGACCCGUCUUGA